This is a long non-coding RNA of Nerophis ophidion (straightnose pipefish), 524 nucleotides long. RefSeq lists it as uncharacterized. The record is from RefSeq and is a predicted model, not a curated record. The transcript is spliced from 4 exons. NCBI's taxonomy places the organism in Eukaryota, Metazoa, Chordata, Actinopteri, Syngnathiformes, Syngnathidae.
UAUAAAUGGGGGGUCUGCAGUGUGUUUUAGUGCAGACGUGCACACUAACUCCUAGAAAGUCCAUGAUAAUAGAAGUUAGUGCAACUCAAUUGAAGCUUCUUCACCCUGACGGACUGUGACUGAACAGAAUUCCCACCUACAUUUUAUAAGAAAACUUCAUUCAGUCAUCCAGUCCAGCCUGAAGAGGAGUCAAGUGCAAUCGGAUCAACUCGUCAACUAGCUGACCAGAACCAAGUACAAUGAGGACUGGAGUAGGCUGGGGCGUUACCCAUGGAUCUUCCCCCUGGCAUGACUGCAUUGAAGAUCGAAAUAAGUCCCAUGGUGGAAACCAUAGAGGAACUGCCGGAACUGCCGAAGCUGAAGCUGACAACCCCCUCCACUCUACAUCCGAGCCCCUGAGAAAGUUCCAGCCAGUCCAGCCUGUAGUUCCCACGGACAGGCCUCUCCUGGAUGAAGACUUGCUGGCAUGAAAGCUUCUUCCGGCCUGUCAUACAAAAUAAAGCCUUCCAUCACGUUCUACAGAA